Molecule: long non-coding RNA, 1820 nt
Organism: Macaca fascicularis (crab-eating macaque)
Lineage: Eukaryota; Metazoa; Chordata; Mammalia; Primates; Cercopithecidae
Source: Ensembl
UUCAAAGUAUAACCAAAUGAUUUUAUUGCAUUUACUGCUCCUGGGCACGCAGAGGCAUCUACACAGAAACAGUAGUUGUGGUUAUAAAAUCUUUUAACGAGUUUGGGGCAGAGGCUUUUAAAUUAUUUUUGAGACAGGGUCUCAUUCUGUCAUCCAGCUUGUGCAGUGGCGCAAUCUUGGCUUACUGCAACCUCUGCCUCCCAGACUCAAGCAAUCCUCCCACCUCAGCCUCCAGAGUAGCUGGGGCUGCAAACAUGCACCAUCACACCCAGCUAAUUUUUUGUAUUUUUGGUAGAGAUGGGGUUUUGCCAUGUGGCCCAGGCUGCUGUCACUGAGCUAGGCGAUCCACCCACCUUGGCUUCCCAAAGUGUUGGGAUUACAGGUGUGAGCCACUGCGCCCGGCCCAGAGUUUUCUUGAUGUGAAAAUUAUGUGAGUGACAAGGAGCACCAGGAGCUCUGCCUGGCUCACUGCCUGUUGGUAGGAUCUGACAUAUGAAUAAUACAAAAUACCCGUCUGGUGUGACUUGCAGAUUAAGUCACUGCUAGACUACAGCCUUGAUGCCCUCUCUUGCUGACCCUAGCCAACAUAACCAGUCUUCCAGGAACAAUACCACGUUUUAAAUUGCUUGAGGUUUCACUACCCACUGUCACUCAGUCCAGAAUCCCAGCAGGAGACACAGCUCCAGCUGGCCUGCCCAGCCCCCAUCAGAAGGCAGGGAGGAGGGGAAUUUGUCAGCCUUAAGGCUACUGAGUAAGAUUCUUCCAUGCAGAGGACACCUGCCCUGAAUGCCAAACUUGGGUCUGAACACUGCCUUCGAACAGUGAGCAAGCUCACUCAAGUUUGUAUUGACUCAUCUGUGAAUCAGGAAUGAUAGCAUACCUCACGUUUAUCCGGAGUCACGGGCUGAAUGCUGUCCCUUUCAAAUUCCAAUGUUGAAGUCCCAACCUCUAGUACCUCAGAAUGUGACCUUAUUGGUAAACAGCUGCUGCGGACACAGAAGACGUUAUAAUGGAGUUGGUGGGAUGGGCUCUAUUCCGAUAUGACUGGUGUCCCUAAACAAAGGGAGGCUUGGGGACAGACACGCCACAGCAAGACUGCCACGUGGGGAUGAAGGCAGAGAGUGCGUGACGCUUCCACACACCAAGGAACGGCAACUGCCAGCAAAGGCACGAAGCCACUUCUCCCUCACAGCCCUCGGAAGGCACCAACCCUGAGGACAUCCUGAUCUCGAAUGUGCAGCUCCCACAACUGUCAGGGAAUACACUCCUGUUGUUCUAAGCCAGCCAGUGUGCGGCACUUCGUUACAACAGACCUAGCAGGGAAUACACUCCUGUUGUUCUAGGCCAGCCAGUGUGCGGUACUUCGUUACAACAGACCUAGCAGGGAACACACUCCUGUUGUUCUAGGCCAACACUCCUGUUGUUCUAGGCCAGCCAGUGUGCGGUACUUCGUUACAACAGACCUAGCAGGGAACACGCUCCUGUUGUUCUAGGCCAGCCAGUGUGCGGCACUUCGUUACAACAGACCUAAAAAAUUGACACACCAGCACUCCAAGCUAAUGUAUAUGUAAAGUGUGAUGUCGGGGAAGGUUCUGUUCUGGAGCUUGGCUCACGGGACAGGAGAACCCCUCACUGGGGGCUGAGCUCCACAUUCCCAGACAGGACAGACUGGAAGAAGGGACUUAAGUGCCUUUUAAACGAUGACCACGCAGCUUCCAACACGCAAGCAUUUACCAAGGAUCUCUGGGGUAUAAAGACACUAUGGGGUGGGUGUGCAACACAAAUUAAAAUGUAAGCUUUGUUUUCGGUGAGCUCCAGAU